Molecule: ribosomal RNA, 491 nt
Filed under: uncultured bacterium
Lineage: Bacteria
Description: bacterial SSU rRNA
Rfam family: Bacterial small subunit ribosomal RNA
Source: RNAcentral
AAAGGAAUAGACGGGGGCCCGCACAAGCAGCGGAGCAUGUGGUUUAAUUCGACGCAACGCGAAGAACCUUACCUAGACUUGACAUCUCCUGAAUUACUCUUAAUCGAGGAAGCCCUUCGGGGCAGGAAGACAGGUGGUGCAUGGUUGUCGUCAGCUCGUGUCGUGAGAUGUUGGGUUAAGUCCCGCAACGAGCGCAACCCCUAUCAUUAGUUGCUACCAUUAAGUUGAGCACUCUAGUGAGACUGCCCGGGUUAACCGGGAGGAAGGUGGGGAUGAUGUCAAAUCAUCAUGCCCCUUACGUCUAGGGCUACACACGUGCUACAAUGGUGAAUACAAAGAGAAGCGAAAUCGUGAGGUGGAGCAAAUCUCAUAAAAAUCAUCCCAGUUCAGAUUGCAGGCUGAAACUCGCCUGCAUGAAGUCGGAGUUGCUAGUAAUCGCGAAUCAGCAUGUCGCGGUGAAUACGUUCCCGGGCCUUGUACACACCGCCCGU